This 249-nucleotide ribosomal RNA is filed under the name uncultured bacterium. RNAcentral describes it as "partial 16S ribosomal RNA". It matches the Rfam family "Bacterial small subunit ribosomal RNA", at positions 526 to 774 of the family's 1533-position model. The record is from RNAcentral.
CGUAGUACGCGAGCGUUAUCCGGAUUUACUGGGCGUAAAGCGCGGGCAGUCGGUGGUCCAAGUCAGAAGUGAAAGCCCUGGGCUCAACCCAGGAAGUGCUUUUGAAACUGCAGGGCUUGAGUGUGGGAGAGGAUAGUGGAAUUCCAGGUGUAGUGGUGAAAUACGUAGAGAUCUGGAGGAACACCGGUGGCGAAGGCGGCUAUCUGGCCCAACACUGACGCUCAGACCCGAAAGCGUGGGGAUCAAACA